This 400-nucleotide ribosomal RNA is filed under the name uncultured bacterium. Its description in RNAcentral is "bacterial SSU rRNA". It matches the Rfam family "Bacterial small subunit ribosomal RNA", at positions 356 to 773 of the family's 1533-position model. The record is from RNAcentral.
GGGGAAUAUUGCACAAUGGGGGAAACCCUGAUGCAGCAACGCCGCGUGGAGGAAGAAGGUUUUCGGAUUGUAAACUCCUGUCUUUUGGGACGAUAAUGACGGUACCAAAAGAGGAAGCCACGGCUAACUACGUGCCAGCAGCCGCGGUAAUACGUAGGUGGCGAGCGUUGUCCGGAAUUACUGGGCGUAAAGGGCGCGUAGGCGGCCAAUUAAGUCAGAUGUGAAAACCCCAGGCUUAACUUGGGGAGUGCAUUUGAAACUGGAUGGCUAGAGUGUCGGAGAGGGAAGCGGAAUUCCUAGUGUAGCGGUGAAAUGCGUAGAUAUUAGGAGGAACACCAGUGGCGAAGGCGGCUUUCUGGACGAUAACUGACGCUGAGGCGCGAAAGCGUGGGGAGCAAAC